GGUCAAUAACCCUGACAGGAAGGCCAUUACAAUUAAUGGCGAAGAGGUCGGUGGCUGCCUAACGGAGGGCUAGCCAAUUAAGGAGUCUUCCUCACUCCGUUCUGUAUCUGCUAGUCAAUCUCGAUACGAGUAGUAGCAAUUGCCUCUAGCUGGUUUAUUUUGAGAGUGUAUCCGGCAUGAGUCAUGACUUGGGGAAAUGGCAAUUGUACAUAGUUUGCAAUUUGCAUACGCUAAAUUCAGACCGAUUGGUGUGACGGUGGCGUUUUUCAAAUACAAACCACAACGGUGAACAUUUUGAUUCCCCAUGUAGAUAUGUGAACAGUUUUUUUGUGAAAACCUUGAUCGGGUAGGAUUUGUUUGACUUGGUUAGUAUAGCUGGUACGGAUAGAGUUCGAUCGACAAUGUUCUAAACAUCAGUAAUGGGCUGUUUUGGGUUUUGUA
Rhododendron vialii is the source of this 441-nucleotide long non-coding RNA. RefSeq lists it as uncharacterized. The transcript is spliced from 2 exons. Lineage: Eukaryota; Viridiplantae; Streptophyta; Magnoliopsida; Ericales; Ericaceae. The record is from RefSeq and is a predicted model, not a curated record.